GGGCGAGUGGUGGAACGGUAUACACGUUGGACUUAAAAUCCAAUGGCUGAAAGGCCGUAAGGGUUCGAAUCCCUUCUCGCCCA
This 83-nucleotide transfer RNA is filed under the name Candidatus Omnitrophota bacterium. Its description in RNAcentral is "Candidatus Omnitrophica bacterium tRNA-Leu". It matches the Rfam family "tRNA". Rfam says of the family: Transfer RNA (tRNA) molecules are approximately 80 nucleotides in length. Their secondary structure includes four short double-helical elements and three loops (D, anti-codon, and T loops). The record is from RNAcentral. Lineage: Bacteria; Pseudomonadati; Candidatus Omnitrophota.